This 448-nucleotide ribosomal RNA is filed under the name uncultured Anaerolineaceae bacterium. Its description in RNAcentral is "bacterial SSU rRNA". It matches the Rfam family "Bacterial small subunit ribosomal RNA", at positions 923 to 1382 of the family's 1533-position model. The record is from RNAcentral. Lineage: Bacteria; Bacillati; Chloroflexota; Anaerolineae; Anaerolineales; Anaerolineaceae.
GCACAAGCAGCGGAGCGUUGUGGUUUAAUUCGAGGCUACACGAAGAACCUUACCAGGGUUUGACAUGUACGUGGUAGGAAUCCGAAAGGUGACCGACCCUUCGGGGAGCGUACACAGGGUGUUGCAUGGCUGUCGUCAGCUCGUGCCGUGAGGUGUUAGGUUAAGUCCUGUAACGAGCGCAACCCUUGCCGCUAGUUAUACGUGUCUAGCGGGACUGCCCGGCUCAACUGGGAGGAAGGUGGGAUGACGUCAAGUCAGCAUGGCCCUUAUAUCCUGGGCUACACACACGCUACAAUGGCCGGUACAAUGGGUCGCUAAGCCGCGAGGCGGAGCCAAUCCUAAAAAGCCGGUCUCAGUUCAGAUUGUAGGCUGCAACUCGCCUGCAUGAAGUCGGAGUUGCUAGUAAUCGCGCGUCAGCAAUAGUGCGGUGAAUACGUUCCCGGGGCUU